GGGCCUGUAAUGGUUUCGACAGGCGGAUGGAACUGAAUGAAGCAUGCCGUAGCGCACAGCCUACGUAAAAAGGUGCACCCAAAUAAACGCUAACAACGUUGAACUCCAGGCAGCCUGAGUCAUAAGGCUCCCCCGCUUUUACGCGGGACGAAGUCAUCGGAUAUAGACGCCGUACUCCAGUGACUUAAAAGGAGGCAUCUGCUCCGGGCAAGUUAAGCUGUCAGAAAACCCGGCUAAGACAUCUGUCAGACCGAUCCGGUUAAGUUCGCCGGUUUCCUUGCGGAUCAGGUACGAAAGCCAGAUAAGCAUGUAGAAGACUCAGGGAGUCACGUUUGGACGCGGUUUCGAUUACCGCCAGGUCCAUUA
RNAcentral lists this transfer-messenger RNA (366 nucleotides) under Lachnospiraceae. RNAcentral describes it as "CAG-791 sp012512995 Standard tmRNA". It matches the Rfam family "transfer-messenger RNA". From Rfam's summary of the family: Bacterial tmRNA, also known as 10Sa RNA or SsrA, is named for its dual tRNA and mRNA-like properties. Lineage: Bacteria; Bacillati; Bacillota; Clostridia; Lachnospirales. The record is from RNAcentral. RNAcentral also lists the same sequence under 1 other name.